UGAGGAAUAUUGGUCAAUGGGCGAGAGCCUGAACCAGCCAAGUAGCGUGCAGGAUGACGGCCCUAUGGGUUGUAAACUGCUUUUAUGUGGGGAUAAAGUGCGUGACGUGUCAUGCAUUGCAGGUACCACAUGAAUAAGGACCGGCUAAUUCCGUGCCAGCAGCCGCGGUAAUACGGAAGGUCCGGGCGUUAUCCGGAUUUAUUGGGUUUAAAGGGAGCGUAGGCUGUCUAUUAAGCGUGUUGUGAAAUUUACCGGCUCAACCGGUGGCUUGCAGCGCGAACUGGUCGACUUGAGUAUGCAGGAAGUAGGCGGAAUUCAUGGUGUAGCGGUGAGAUGCUUAGAUAUCAUGACGAACUCCGAUUGCGCAGGCAGCUUACUGUAGCAUAACUGACGCUGAUGCUCGAAAGUGCGGGUAUCAAACAGG
This 424-nucleotide ribosomal RNA is filed under the name Fusobacteriota bacterium. Its description in RNAcentral is "Fusobacteria bacterium partial 16S ribosomal RNA". It matches the Rfam family "Bacterial small subunit ribosomal RNA", at positions 355 to 776 of the family's 1533-position model. Lineage: Bacteria; Fusobacteriati; Fusobacteriota. The record is from RNAcentral.